This 500-nucleotide non-coding RNA is filed under the name Colletotrichum truncatum. RNAcentral's name for it is "sequence contains 18S rRNA gene, ITS1, 5.8S rRNA gene, ITS2 and 28S rRNA gene". The stretch from base 124 to 277 matches the Rfam family "5.8S ribosomal RNA". The record is from RNAcentral. Lineage: Eukaryota; Fungi; Ascomycota; Sordariomycetes; Glomerellales; Glomerellaceae.
UAGGCGUCCCCUAAAAAGGACGUCUCCCGGCCCUCUCCCGUCCGCGGGUGGGGCGCCCGCCGGAGGAUAACCAAACUCUGAUUUAACGACGUUUCUUCUGAGUGACACAAGCAAAUAAUCAAAACUUUUUAACAACGGAUCUCUUGGUUCUGGCAUCGAUGAAGAACGCAGCGAAAUGCGAUAAGUAAUGUGAAUUGCAGAAUUCAGUGAAUCAUCGAAUCUUUGAACGCACAUUGCGCCCGCCAGCAUUCUGGCGGGCAUGCCUGUUCGAGCGUCAUUUCAACCCUCAAGCUCUGCUUGGGUGUUGGGGCUCUACGGUUGACGUAGGCCCUUAAAGGUAGUGGCGGACCCUCUCGGAGCCUCCUUUGCGUAGUAACAUUUCGUCUCGCAUUGGGAUUCGGAGGGACUCUAGCCGUAAAACCCCCAAUUUUACUAAGGUUGACCUCGGAUCAGGUAGGAAUUCCCGCUGAACUUAAGAGAAAAUAUAAAAAAAACCGCGG